This 107-nucleotide small nuclear RNA is filed under the name Phialocephala subalpina. Lineage: Eukaryota; Fungi; Ascomycota; Leotiomycetes; Helotiales; Mollisiaceae. The record is from RNAcentral.
CGCCGAUUAAAAGGCACUUUGGUCACUUUGAAAAGAUACAGAGAAGAUUAGCAUAGCCCCUGCACUAAGGACGACACGCGAACGCGAACGGAUGCUACUUCAUUUUU